GUGCCAGCAGCCGCGGUAAGACAGAGGUGCCGAGCGUUAGGCGGAAUCACUGGGCUUAAAGCGUGUGUAGGCGGACUGUUAAGUACCUUGUGAAAUCCCACGGCUCAACCGUGGAACUGCUCGGUAUACUGGCGGUCUUGAGCCACUUAGGGGUCGUCGGAACAAGCGGUGGAGCGGUGAAAUGCGUAGAUAUCGCUUGGAACGCCAACGGUGAAAACAGACGACUGGGAGUGCGCUGACGCUGAGACACGAAAGCCAGGGGAGCGAACGGGAUUAGAAACCCCUGUAGUCC
RNAcentral lists this ribosomal RNA (292 nucleotides) under uncultured bacterium. RNAcentral describes it as "partial 16S ribosomal RNA". It matches the Rfam family "Bacterial small subunit ribosomal RNA", at positions 505 to 796 of the family's 1533-position model. The record is from RNAcentral.